UAACUUUGCAGCUGCUAUAUUACAUUUGUCAAUGUUUAGUUACAAAGAUGUUGAUUAAAAGCACAAUGAAUCACUAAGAAAUGAUACUGGAGACAAGAAUAACAGUUUAGGGCUGUCACAAGAGGCAUACACUUUCAUACAUUAAUCUUUACCAUAGAAUUAGCAACCAAAAACACUGGUACAAUUAUUAGGAGGCAGAACCCAAUAAUUUGAUUACACAUUUUCAUUUUAGUGUGCCUUUGACUUACAUUCAUCUGAUGAUCUGCAAUACCUUGAGAUUUUGUAAACUAUAUUGUUUCCACUUUCCAGCUCUCCAAUUAAAUGCAAAUGUCUUUUCCAUACUCAGUUGAUAAAAAGACGACAGCAUACCCAGUGUAAUCCCACAAAGUGGAGUCUUGGGAGGGUAGAGCGUACACUGAACACAAACCUUACCCCUACCUCAGAGGUAGAGAGGUUGUUCCUGAUAGACCCUCAGCUCAAGAAAAAACUCCUUUGAUAAAAAAGGGAACAAUUCUUUCUGCACGUAUUCUUACACCAUAUUCUGGUGCAAAGUAGUACAAUAUGCAAUUGGAGGAUCUACAAACAUAGAUACAGAAUAUUAUAAGACCUUAUACACAAAUAGUCGCAUUUAAUUGCUUUACUUUUCAGGAAACAACAUGCCAAUGUCGAAGUUAUCCAGACAAAACAAAUCAUGAAGCUUUAUAGUAAUAACAACAAAAGCCAUGAAUUGUCUUAUCUGUG
Molecule: unclassified non-coding RNA, 741 nt
Filed under: Hevea brasiliensis (rubber tree)
Lineage: Eukaryota; Viridiplantae; Streptophyta; Magnoliopsida; Malpighiales; Euphorbiaceae
Source: RNAcentral